AGGAUACUAUACCCCGAUGAAACACACAAGUCCGGGGAAGGCUAUAAAGCUCCGUGUGGCAACAAGAACCACGCUCAGGCUUAUAAAGAUCAAUUAUUUUGGGUGGACGAUUUCCCAACGAGGACUAAUCCCACCUUACUCCUGGACUUCACCAACAUCGGUCCAUGUCACCGUACGCCUUUCGUUAAUUCCUUCGACGAGAGGCUUUAGGCGAUAGGCUCUCUCCGCGACGAGGAACUAGAAAUCCCCCAACUCAUCACCGAUGCCCGUCUAGUACGGGUUGCUGCAGGUGAUGGACCCAAAACGGGUGAUGCCAAGGAUACUUUGUAAGGCUGUGAAGAAAAUUGAAGAUCGGUUCAAUUU
Humulus lupulus (European hop) is the source of this 363-nucleotide long non-coding RNA. RefSeq lists it as uncharacterized. The record is from RefSeq and is a predicted model, not a curated record. The transcript has 3 exons. Lineage: Eukaryota; Viridiplantae; Streptophyta; Magnoliopsida; Rosales; Cannabaceae.